CCUACGGGAGGCAGCAGUGAGGAAUAUUGGUCAAUGGCCGGAAGGCUGAACCAGCCAAGCCGCGUGAAGGACGAAGGUGCCAAGCAUUGUAAACUUCUUUUGUCAAGGGACAAAAUCAGGCUCGAGAGCCUGACCGAGGGUACUUGAAGAAAAAGCAUCGGCUAACUCCGUGCCAGCAGCCGCGGUAAUACGGGCGAUGCGAGCGUUAUCCGGAUUUAUUGGGUUUAAAGGGUGCGUAGGCGGACUGUUAAGUCAGCGGUAAAAUCCCGGGGCUCAACCCCGGCGAGCCGUUGAAACUGGCUGUCUUGAGAUGUCGAGAGGUAUGCGGAAUGCGCAGUGUAGCGGUGAAAUGCUUAGAUAUUGCGCAGAACUCCGAUUGCGAAGGCAGCAUACCGGCGGCGAUCUGACGCUGAGGCACGAAAGCGUGGGUAUCGAACAGGAUUAGAUACCCUAGUAGUC
This 459-nucleotide ribosomal RNA is filed under the name uncultured bacterium. RNAcentral describes it as "partial 16S ribosomal RNA". It matches the Rfam family "Bacterial small subunit ribosomal RNA", at positions 338 to 795 of the family's 1533-position model. The record is from RNAcentral.